RNAcentral lists this transfer RNA (65 nucleotides) under Gregariella coralliophaga. Its description in RNAcentral is "tRNA-Tyr". The record is from RNAcentral. Lineage: Eukaryota; Metazoa; Mollusca; Bivalvia; Mytilida; Mytilidae.
CAAGAAGUGGCUGAGUGUAAGCGGUAAGCUGUAAACUUAUUAACAGGAAAGUUUCCUCUUCUUGA